CUUCCGUAGGGGAACCUGCGGAAGGAUCAUUAUCGAGUUUUGACUGGGUUGUAGCUGGCCUUCCGAGGCAUGUGCACGCCCUGCUCAUCCACUCUACACCUGUGCACUUACUGUGGGUUUCAGACGGCGUAGCGAGCCUUUACGGGUUCGUGAAAGCGUCUGUGCCUGCGUUUAUUACAAACUCUUACAAGUAAAUGAAUGUGUAUUGCGAUAUAACGCAUCUAUAUACAACUUUCAGCAACGGAUCUCUUGGCUCUCGCAUCGAUGAAGAACGCAGCGAAAUGCGAUAAGUAAUGUGAAUUGCAGAAUUCAGUGAAUCAUCGAAUCUUUGAACGCACCUUGCGCUCCUUGGUAUUCCGAGGAGCAUGCCUGUUUGAGUGUCAUGAAAUCUUCAACCUAUAAACCUUUGCGGGUUUGUAGGCUUGGACUUGGAGGCUUGUCGGCCUAACGGUCGGCUCCUCUUAAAUGCAUUAGCUUGAUUCCUUGCGGAUCGGCUCUCGGUGUGAUAAUUGUCUACGCCGCGACCGUGAAGCGUUUGGCGAGCUUCUAAUCGUCUCUUAUGAGACAACACAUUGACCUCUGACCUCAAAUCAGGUAGGACUACCCGCUGAACUUAAGCAUAUCAAUAAGCGGAGAGAAAA
The sequence is a ribosomal RNA, 641 nucleotides long. The stretch from base 230 to 383 matches the Rfam family "5.8S ribosomal RNA".